Molecule: ribosomal RNA, 483 nt
Filed under: uncultured bacterium
Lineage: Bacteria
Description: partial 16S ribosomal RNA
Rfam family: Bacterial small subunit ribosomal RNA
Source: RNAcentral
GACGAACGCUGGCGGCGUGCUUAACACAUGCAAGUCGAACGCUGAAGCUCAGCUUUUGUUGGGUGGAUGAGUGGCGAACGGGUGAGUAACACGUGAGUAACCUGCCUCCUUCUUUGGGAUAACGCCCGGAAACGGGUGCUAAUACUGGAUAUUCACUGGUCUUCGCAUGGGGGUUGGUGGAAAGGGUUUUUCUGGUGGGGGAUGGGCUCGCGGCCUAUCAGCUUGUUGGUGGGGUGAUGGCCUACCAAGGCUUUGACGGGUAGCCGGCCUGAGAGGGUGACCGGUCACAUUGGGACUGGGAUACGGCCCAGACUCCUACGGGAGGCAGCAGUGGGGAAUAUUGCACAAUGGGCGCAAGCCUGAUGCAGCGACGCCGCGUGAGGGAUGGAGGCCUUCGGGUUGUGAACCUCUUUCGCUCAUGGUCAAGCUGCAACAAUGGUUGUGGUGAGGGUAGUGGGUAAAGAAGCGCCGGCUAACUACGUG